RNAcentral lists this unclassified non-coding RNA (376 nucleotides) under soil metagenome. Its description in RNAcentral is "partial contains 5.8S ribosomal RNA, internal transcribed spacer 2, and large subunit ribosomal RNA". The stretch from base 1 to 120 matches the Rfam family "5.8S ribosomal RNA", at positions 35 to 154 of the family's 154-position model. The record is from RNAcentral.
GAUGAAGAACGCAGCGAAAUGCGAUAAGUAAUGUGAAUUGCAGAAUUCAGUGAAUCAUCGAAUCUUUGAACGCAUCUUGCGCUCCUUGGUAUUCUGAGGAGCAUGCCUGUUUGAGUGUCAUUAAAUUCUCAACUACACUGACUUUGAAUUGGUGUGGCUUGGAUUUGGGGGGAAAAUUGUUGUGGGCUUUUUGUAUAGUCUGCUCCCCUGAAAUUGAUUAGCGGUACCUUUGUGGAACUGUCUACAGGUGUGAUAAUUAUCUACAUCUUAGACAUCUGCUGGAAUGCUGCUUUCUAAACCUUACUUGUAUUGACAAUCUCGACCUCAAAUCAGGUAGGACUACCCGCUGAACUUAAGCAUAUCAAUAAGCGGAAGA